UAUGUGAUCGUCUCUCGCAUAUCAAUAAGCGGAGGAAAAGAAAAUAACAAUGAUUUCCCUAGUAACGGCGAGUGAAGAGGAAAGAGCUCAAAGUUGGAAACUGUUUGGCUUAGCUAAACCGUAUUGUAAACUGUAGAAACAUUUUCCUGGCACGCCGGAUUAAUAAGUCCUUUGGAACAAGGCAUCAUGGAGGGUGAGAAUCCCGUCUUUGAUCCGAGUAGUUGUCUUUUGUGAUAUGUUUUCAAAGAGUCAGGUUGUUUGGGAAUGCAGUCCAAAAUGGGUGGUAAAUUUCAUCUAAAGCUAAAUAUUGGCGAGAGACCGAUAGCGAACAAGUACCGUGAGGGAAAGAUGAAAAGAACUUUGAAAAGAGAGUUAAACAGUACGUGAAAUUGUCAAAAGGGAAGCGUUUGACACCAGUGUUGUUUUUCUGAAAAUCAAUUAAAGAACUGUUUAUGCUAAGUUGUUUAGACUUUAUCAGCUAACUGUUUAGUUUUGAGCUUUUCUUUAAUGCACUUUUCAGUUAACAAGUCAACAUCAAUUUCUUUUGCUGUAAAAAAGCUUGAGGAAGGUGGCUUGAGAUUCGUCUUAAGUGUUUAUAGCCUCUUGCCUAUGCAGUCGGAGAGAUUGAGGUCUGCAGCGUAGAUCCUUCGGGGCUAAAUGCAUUUGUGCUAAGUUAUAACAUUUUAUAGACAACUUGUUGACUAUGAUUUGUCUUGUAGCUUACUCGCUUAUGUUAUUUUACCUACGCUUAGGAUGUUGAAGUCAUCGUAUCGCGC
RNAcentral lists this ribosomal RNA (776 nucleotides) under uncultured Neocallimastigales. RNAcentral describes it as "partial large subunit ribosomal RNA". It matches the Rfam family "Eukaryotic large subunit ribosomal RNA", at positions 24 to 645 of the family's 3401-position model. The record is from RNAcentral. Lineage: Eukaryota; Fungi; Neocallimastigomycota; Neocallimastigomycetes; Neocallimastigales.